Molecule: long non-coding RNA, 991 nt
Filed under: Homo sapiens (human)
Lineage: Eukaryota; Metazoa; Chordata; Mammalia; Primates; Hominidae
Description: HSALNT0045795
Source: RNAcentral
GGUGGUGUGCGCCUGCAGUCACAGCUACUCAGGAAGCUGAGGUGGGAGGUUUGGUUGAGAGCAGAUAGUCGAGGCUGCAGUGAACAGUAAUGUUGCCACUUCACUCCCCAAAUUCUUAUUUAUAAUGCACAAAAAAUUGCCUUUCUCUUCCAUUUUCUUAACUCCACCUAGCCAAAAUGGAAUAAUGAGGUAUCAAGGCUAUGAUCAUUUCUUUCUCAACUGGAUUUCCUAAACAGCUCCCAAAUCUUGUGACUCUAUAUCUUCCCUCCCAAUCCUACCUCCUUUAUCCAAAGAUCUUUCAAUACAAAUCUGACCAGUGCCCUAAGGGCCAACUAAGCCCUUCAUAAUAACAGACCCAAUGCUUGGCAUUUUACACAGCUGUUACACGGAUUUGGACCUUCUACCUGGAAAAUUUUACCCCUCUUGGCCUGUUUUAAAUCUAUUCAACACAGGGGUUUCAGUUUAAACAUCUCUUCCUCCUAGAAAAUUGUUCCUGACUCCUUCUGGGCUUUUAAUUAGCUACUCCUACCAUGUGCUCCAAUGCACUUCCCAUAUCAUGGUAUUUUUCUCAAUAUUGUCCGUUCAAUAUCUUCACGUGCUAGGUAACUACAGUGAAUGCAGAGAUCGUAGUUGUCUCGCUCGAUAAUGAAUACUUAUCUUCUGUUCGCAGAGUACUCUGUAGUUUUGUUUUGAGUAAGUGAAUCCAAAUGAAACAAUACCCUGUUCUUAAUACUGUAUGGAUCCCAUCCAGGUUCAUUCCUUUUCUUCCUCAUUUUCUCUGUCUUGUCUUUUUUAUAUUUUGGAUAGUUGAAGUCAAUCAUUUUCUCUGUCUAUUCAUUCUAUUUCCCCAGCCUCUUCAUCCCACUAGCCGUCCGAUCCCAUCUCCAUAUUCAGUGCUUCUCCUAACGUCUCUUCUUCUCCCUACCCCAAACCCUGGAGAUGUACAAGAUCCUACCUUUCACGCCAAAUGAAGAAAAUCUUUAAAAAAGAA